GGAACACAGGAGAUGAUUCUGAAGGAUUCUGAUAGGGUGGUGACUUGCUGAUUUUUGACAGUUGCGUGUCUGCAAAUCUGAUGGCCAUUCUUGCCCACUAACCCGUAACACUCCAUAUCAGGGCUUUCAAGUUCAUUAGUGCUCAGAAAAACCCUCAGCAUUUGCCACCACUGGUACAGACAGCACCCUGCAUUACAAAUGUGCUAGUAUACACACAGAACAUUACACAAAUGAUGCCUGUGUUGAGGUAGAAUACCUGCUGCUAACUCUUGGUCUACCUACCCAGGUAAUUUUUAACUAUGCAUUUUAUACUCAUGCCUUGUGUUUACUGUUUUAAUCUUUGUCACAGAAGUACAUUUUGAUAUAUAUCUUUUACAUAAUGUUUUACAAUGAUGUGUUUUUAACUGUGUCAUGCACCACCUUGAGCAUCGAGGAGAGGCGGGUAAGAAAUAAAAAUCAUCAUCAUCAUUAUCAGGAAUAGGGAGAUGGAUGCAGAAAGAUUAUGAGAAAGCCCUAAUGAAUACAAAAGUCAAGUAUUUGGAAAGAGCUGGGGCAGAGGCAGAAAAUAAGAAUAUCUCUCUUAGAUGCAUUUGCACUGUGUAAUUAAUGCAGCUUGACAUCAUUGCAAUGUAGAUGUAAUUCUACAUUCGACCCAUAGUUGUUGCUGCUCUUAUUGUUUAAAGCAUGGGAAAGAUUUGUUCUUAUGUAUUUUACCUCAAUCUGCUCUGUAUUACUUCAAUGUCUUUUAAUUUUUGUAUUAUACUUUUCUAAAUGAUUACCAAAGUGUGGGAUUGUUAACCGCCUUGAGUCCCCACGGGGAUAAAGUCGGGGUAUAAAUAAAGUAAAUACAAAAUUAAAAUAAAUAACAUAAGAAAUAAAUUUUUAUAUUUUUACCUUUCCACAGGGUUUCCUGAACCAAACCACAGGCAGAUGCUGAGGUUCCACCAAACUGAUUACAAAAGAAACUUUGAGCGACUUGAGAAACUGCUAGUUGCUUCUGGUAUGAGAGAAUUGGCUUUCUGCAAGGACGUUGCCCAGGGGAUGCCCAGAUGUUUUAACCAUCCUUGUGGAAGGCUUCUCUCAUGUCCCUGCAUGGAGCUGGAGCUCAUCCGCGCUCUCCCCGGUUUGGAUUCGAACCGGAAACCUUCAGGUCAGCAACCCAACCUUCAAGUCAUCAGUCCUGCCAGCACAAGGGUUUAACCCCCUGCACCACUGGGGCUUCAUCUAACCAGAUAAUACUUACACAAUACGCUUCUAGUUAGCUUCCUGGAUCACGAGUAAGAAAAGAUUUCAUUUAUUUCUCUUAACACUAUGGACAAUAUGGUGCUUUGAAACAUGGAAAGCUAGGGUUUGUUAUGAAGAGACCAAUAAGAUGUGAGGAGUGUAUCUGUGGAUUAUCAAACAGUGUAUCUGAGAGGCUGGUAUCUGUGUGAUAAAUGAGAGUUCUAUAAAAGAAAAGAAAAUAUUGUUUCAAAUUCCUGCUCUGUUUACUUUUUUAUUUUAUAAAAAUAGCUUCUUUGAAUAUAUCUUCUAUCACCAGGAGAAAGAAAAUGGGUGAGACUACAGCCUUGAAAACUUACGCAUUAAUAAAAGAGCCAGUUUAACAAUCCCUUAGCAUCCUAGGAGUUCUUCUGAGUGGCACCUUAGCAUCUGAAGGAUAUAAUUAUUAUAACAUCAUGCAACUAAAGAUGCAUUAAGAUCCAGCUGAAAAAAGGACUCCCGCACACCUUGUCCAACAAAUUUUCACAGAAAUUUCAGUGGCAAGUUCAGAUCACUUCC
Anolis carolinensis (green anole) is the source of this 1779-nucleotide long non-coding RNA. The record is from Ensembl. NCBI's taxonomy places the organism in Eukaryota, Metazoa, Chordata, Lepidosauria, Squamata, Anolidae.